CUGACAUUCAGCUUAAAUAUGCCGGUGUGUGAUUUAAUCCACAGGUACCUGAUGAACACAUUAUUGUCAGAUUGGUUGCAGGUGCUAAAGGCUAGCUGAAGAUCAUUCCUAGUCAUUUAUAUUUAUCAGGGUAAAAGUGAAGUGAUUUGAACUAUAAAAAUACCUUUGAAAUAAUUUAUCAAUGUAUUAGGUAAACCCAGUUUCAGAAUUAUAAAGAAAAACUGUUAGACCAAAUAAGGUGGCUAAUUAACAGUGGUAUGAUUUCUAGCCCGAGGGUCUAAAUUGGACUCAAACUGUCUUUAAACUGAACUCAAAGAAUGCAAAAGUGGCAAGUUCAGAAAAUAAAAGGCAAGAACAGGACUUGAAGUCCAUUUUAAACCCUCGGGCUAGAAAUCGUCCUACUGUUAAUUAGCCACAUUCGUUGGUCUAACAGUUUUUCUUUAUAAUUCUGGAACUGAGUUUAUCUAAUACAUUGAUAAAUUCAUACAAUUUGGAAGAGUCAGUUGAAGUCACAAGGACUUAAUAUUUGCACUCUUUCACUGA
RNAcentral lists this long non-coding RNA (543 nucleotides) under Homo sapiens (human). RNAcentral's name for it is "non-protein coding lnc-MAN2C1-9:1". The record is from RNAcentral. Lineage: Eukaryota; Metazoa; Chordata; Mammalia; Primates; Hominidae.